Molecule: ribosomal RNA, 77 nt
Filed under: Escherichia coli DEC9D
Lineage: Bacteria; Pseudomonadati; Pseudomonadota; Gammaproteobacteria; Enterobacterales; Enterobacteriaceae
Source: RNAcentral
UGGCGGCCGUAGCGCGGUGGUCCCACCUGACCCCAUGCCGAACUCAGAAGUGAAACGCCGUAGCGCCGAUGGUAGUU